GUCUCUAAGCAAUGGAUGUCUUGGCUCCUCACACGAUGAAGAACGUGGCAUAAUGUGUUAAGUAACCGGAGUUGCAAACAUCAUGACAGGUUAAUCUUUGAAUGCAAAUUGCGCUAAACUCGAUCUCGGUCGAGAAGCAUGGGUGUGACAGUAAUA
Molecule: ribosomal RNA, 156 nt
Filed under: Trichomonas vaginalis G3
Lineage: Eukaryota; Parabasalia; Trichomonadida; Trichomonadidae
Description: 5.8S ribosomal RNA
Rfam family: 5.8S ribosomal RNA
About the family: 5.8S ribosomal RNA (5.8S rRNA) is a component of the large subunit of the eukaryotic ribosome. It is transcribed by RNA polymerase I as part of the 45S precursor that also contains 18S and 28S rRNA. Functionally, it is thought that 5.8S rRNA may be involved in ribosome translocation.
Source: Rfam by way of RNAcentral